Molecule: ribosomal RNA, 253 nt
Filed under: uncultured bacterium
Lineage: Bacteria
Description: partial 16S ribosomal RNA
Rfam family: Bacterial small subunit ribosomal RNA
Source: RNAcentral
GACGAACCGCACAAACGUUAUUCGGAAUCACUGGGCUUAAAGGGUGCGUAGGCGGUGCGGAAAGUUGGGUGUGAAAUCCCUCGGCUCAACCGAGGAACUGCGCCCAAAACUACCGUGCUUGAGGGAGACAGAGGUGAGUGGAACUUAGGGUGGAGCGGUGAAAUGCGUUGAUAUCCUAAGGAACACCAGUGGCGAAAGCGACUCACUGGGUCUCUUCUGACGCUGAGGCACGAAAGCUAGGGGAGCAAACGGG